This 457-nucleotide ribosomal RNA is filed under the name uncultured bacterium. RNAcentral's name for it is "bacterial SSU rRNA". It matches the Rfam family "Bacterial small subunit ribosomal RNA", at positions 335 to 784 of the family's 1533-position model. The record is from RNAcentral.
ACUCCUACGGGAGGCAGCAGUAGGGAAUAUUGGUUCAAUGGGCGAAAGCCUGAACCAGCCAUGCCGCGUGUCAGAUGAAGGUCCUCUGGAUUGUAAAUGACUUUUCUACGGGAAGAAUGAGCCGUCUGCGGACGGAAGUUGACGGUACCGUAGGAAUAAGCACCGGCUAACUACGUGCCAGCAGCCGCGGUAAUACGUAGGGGUGCAAGCGUUGUCCGGAUUUACUGGGGUUUAAAGGGUACGUAGGCGGUUGUGCCAAGUCUGGGGUGAAAGUUUGCAGCUCAACUGUAAAAUUGCCUUGGAUACUGGUCGGCUAGAGUAGUGGAGCGGUGGCUGGAAUUUAUAGUGUAGCGGUGAAAUGCUUAGAUACUAUGAGGAACACCAAUUGCGAAGGCAGGUCACUGGUCACUAACUGACGCUGAGGUACGAAAGUGUGGGGAUCAAACAGGAUUAGAUA